UACGGAGGGAGCUAGCGUUGUUCGGAAUUACUGGGCGUAAAGCGCGCGUAGGCGGCUUUGUAAGUUAGAGGUGAAAGCCCGGGGCUCAACCCCGGAACUGCCUUCGAUACUGCGGGUCUCGAGUCCGGGAGAGGUGAGUGGAAUUCCUAGUUUAGAGGUGAAAUUCGUAGAUAUUAGGAAGAACACCAGUGGCGAAGGCGGCUCACUGGCCCGGUACUGACGCUGAGGCACGAAAGCGUGGGGAGCAAACAGG
This 253-nucleotide ribosomal RNA is filed under the name uncultured bacterium. RNAcentral's name for it is "partial 16S ribosomal RNA". It matches the Rfam family "Bacterial small subunit ribosomal RNA", at positions 524 to 776 of the family's 1533-position model. The record is from RNAcentral.